GUGGGGUCUAGUUGGUGGAAUUAGGUCACUGUGGAGAUGGCUUUGAAGAAUAUAUCUUGUCUCUGUGCCCCAUCUCUGUCUCUUUUUGCUUCCUGGUUGACAGAUCAUAUAAUGAGGACCUUCUUGGAGAAAGUGAAAUGAUGUUACCCGCUGAGUGAAUUACAUGUUUGCCAUGGAAAUCAUCUAACUCUGCAAAAACCAGAAACACAGAAGCAAACAUGCCAGCCAUUCCCUCUCUGGAAACCCUUGGACAGAAUUCUACAUAGUAAAAGUCUGAAAUGAACCCUUA
Long non-coding RNA from Peromyscus eremicus (cactus mouse), 289 nucleotides. RefSeq lists it as uncharacterized. The transcript is spliced from 2 exons. NCBI's taxonomy places the organism in Eukaryota, Metazoa, Chordata, Mammalia, Rodentia, Cricetidae. The record is from RefSeq and is a predicted model, not a curated record.